RNAcentral lists this transfer RNA (86 nucleotides) under Candidatus Woesearchaeota archaeon. Its description in RNAcentral is "tRNA-Cys". The stretch from base 20 to 79 matches the Rfam family "tRNA", at positions 7 to 64 of the family's 71-position model. From Rfam's summary of the family: Transfer RNA (tRNA) molecules are approximately 80 nucleotides in length. Their secondary structure includes four short double-helical elements and three loops (D, anti-codon, and T loops). The record is from RNAcentral. Lineage: Archaea; Nanobdellati; Candidatus Woesearchaeota.
GCGAGGAUUUUUUAACCUCAAAGCCAAGCGGCUAAGGCGAGAGGCUGCAACCCUCUUAUUCGGCGGUUCGAAUCCGCCUCCUCGCU